GGAGUUGGCAGGAUGAUCGCUCCUCUGCCCAAAAGAUUGGCGGAGGGGAGGAAAGUCCGAGCUCCAUCGGGCAGGGUGGUCGCUAACGGCGACGCGGGGUGACCCGACGGAAAGUGCCACAGAAAAUACACAGCCUCCAUUGUUUGCUUGUGUAAACAAGCAAAGGGGGUAAAAAAGGCGAGGUAAGAGCUCACCGCUCCUCUGGUGACAGGGGAGGCAUGGUAAACCCCACCCGGAGCAAGGCCAAAUAAGAGGGGAAUUCCGUUCCCUGCGAGGGACGGAUACGGGAUGCCCAUCCCGCGCUAUGACCCUCGGGUUGGCCGCUUGAUCCGUCAGAGCAAUUUGGCGGACAGAUAGAUGAUCAUCAAAUACAGAACUCGGCUUAUGGCCAACUCCAGCU
RNAcentral lists this RNase P RNA (400 nucleotides) under Nitrospirota bacterium. RNAcentral describes it as "Nitrospirae bacterium (hydrothermal vent metagenome) RNase P RNA component class A". It matches the Rfam family "Bacterial RNase P class A". Rfam says of the family: Ribonuclease P (RNase P) is a ubiquitous endoribonuclease, found in archaea, bacteria and eukarya as well as chloroplasts and mitochondria. Lineage: Bacteria; Pseudomonadati; Nitrospirota. The record is from RNAcentral.